This 1041-nucleotide ribosomal RNA is filed under the name Salmonella enterica. RNAcentral's name for it is "partial 23S ribosomal RNA". It matches the Rfam family "Bacterial large subunit ribosomal RNA", at positions 711 to 1665 of the family's 2925-position model. The record is from RNAcentral. Lineage: Bacteria; Pseudomonadati; Pseudomonadota; Gammaproteobacteria; Enterobacterales; Enterobacteriaceae.
AGACCCGAAACCCGGUGAUCUAGCCAUGGGCAGGUUGAAGGUUGGGUAACACUAACUGGAGGACCGAACCGACUAAUGUUGAAAAAUUAGCGGAUGACCUGUGGCUGGGGGUGAAAGGCCAAUCAAACCGGGAGAUAGCUGGUUCUCCCCGAAAGCUAUUUAGGUAGCGCCUCGUGAAUUCAUCUCCGGGGGUAGAGCACUGUUUCGGCUAGGGGGCCAUCCCGGCUUACCAACCCGAUGCAAACUGCGAAUACCGGAGAAUGUUAUCACGGGAGACACACGGCGGGUGCUAACGUCCGUCGUGAAGAGGGAAACAACCCAGACCGCCAGCUAAGGUCCCAAAGUCAUGGUUAAGUGGGAAACGAUGUGGGAAGGCCCAGACAGCCAGGAUGUUGGCUUAGAAGCAGCCAUCAUUUAAAGAAAGCGUAAUAGCUCACUGGUCGAGUCGGCCUGCGCGGAAGAUGUAACGGGGCUAAACCAUGCACCGAAGCUGCGGCAGCGAACGUAUCACCCAAGACAACUUUACGGAGUUGACGAUUGACGGAGCGAAGCGACGUCAAAGCGUUCAUUAAAGUCGAGUUGGCUUAGGGAUACGUUCGUUGGGUAGGGGAGCGUUCUGUAAGCCUGUGAAGGUGUGUCGUGAGGCAUGCUGGAGGUAUCAGAAGUGCGAAUGCUGACAUAAGUAACGAUAAAGCGGGUGAAAAGCCCGCUCGCCGGAAGACCAAGGGUUCCUGUCCAACGUUAAUCGGGGCAGGGUGAGUCGACCCCUAAGGCGAGGCCGAAAGGCGUAGUCGAUGGGAAACGGGUUAAUAUUCCCGUACUUGGUGUUACUGCGAAGGGGGGACGGAGAAGGCUAUGUUGGCCGGGCGACGGUUGUCCCGGUUUAAGCGUGUAGGUGUGUGUUCCAGGUAAAUCCGGUUCACUUUAACACUGAGGCGUGACGACGAGGCACUACGGUGCUGAAGCAACAAAUGCCCUGCUUCCAGGAAAAGCCUCUAAGCAUCAGGUAACAUCAAAUCGUACCCCAAACCGACACAGGUG